Long non-coding RNA from Diceros bicornis minor, 500 nucleotides. RefSeq lists it as uncharacterized. The transcript has 2 exons. The record is from RefSeq and is a predicted model, not a curated record. NCBI's taxonomy places the organism in Eukaryota, Metazoa, Chordata, Mammalia, Perissodactyla, Rhinocerotidae.
AUUACACAGGAUUGAACCAACUGAUAAGGAUGAUUAUAAUUUUUAUGAUUUUUCAUUUGAAGUAUUGCUGAAUUUUUAAUGUUUUGUUUUUUUCAGAUUUAAGGAAAACUUUUUCUCUUUUCUCCUGAGCUAGCUAUGACUUAUAGCAAUUUGCCUUACAAACUGAAGCUGAUGGACUUGAUAUAAACUUAAGAGAUGACCUGACGACACCAUCAGAGACAUUUAAACUGCAAAAGAUGCUUUGACGCUGACAUAUAAAACCUUAACUGGCUGUCCUCUAACUCAGAAACUGCUUUACAACUUGCUCCAACCAUUAACCUUGUUUUUCUUUUGUUUACAUAGAAAUGCUUCUAUUAAAUACUUGAUUGCUUGCUUCCAUAAUAUAGGCGUAACCUUGAGAGCCCACCUGCAUCACCACCUUCCAAAAGGAACUUAAUUGAACUGAUCUAUCAUCAGGACUAUGAAAUGUGUUCAGUGAGAUGAAACAAUCUACCAACUCA